This 238-nucleotide long non-coding RNA is filed under the name Volvox carteri. Its description in RNAcentral is "long non-coding RNA (VCAR_LNC001478)". Lineage: Eukaryota; Viridiplantae; Chlorophyta; Chlorophyceae; Chlamydomonadales; Volvocaceae. The record is from RNAcentral.
AAGAAUACAAUCAAUUCAGCUCGAUGGUUGUAAGUAUGGGCCCUUAUCAGUAUGAAAAACGACCUGAACUGUGCGUCUCAUUUGGCAGCCAAUUAUCAGUGCUAGAUGUACAGGUGGUGUAGAGGUCGUGUAGCAAGCCUUUGCGCGUAAUGGCCACAGAAUUGGAUCUUCAUAUGCGUCGCAAGGAGAUACAGUAGAGUCGUCUAACGCUGUGGACGUUGUGACCGUUAUAUACGAC